CGUACACAAGUCAGCGUGUACCU
This 23-nucleotide non-coding RNA is filed under the name Arabidopsis thaliana (thale cress). The record is from RNAcentral. Lineage: Eukaryota; Viridiplantae; Streptophyta; Magnoliopsida; Brassicales; Brassicaceae.